This 382-nucleotide unclassified non-coding RNA is filed under the name soil metagenome. Its description in RNAcentral is "partial contains 5.8S ribosomal RNA, internal transcribed spacer 2, and large subunit ribosomal RNA". The stretch from base 1 to 120 matches the Rfam family "5.8S ribosomal RNA", at positions 35 to 154 of the family's 154-position model. The record is from RNAcentral.
GAUGAAGAACGUAGUGAAAUGCGAUAAGUAAUGUGAAUUGCAGAAUUCAGUGAAUCAUCGAAUCUUUGAACGCACCUUGCACCCUUUGGCAUUCCGAAGGGUAUGCUCGUUUGAGUGUCAUUGUACUCUCACUCUCCCGAUACUUUUGGAUCGGGAGUGGUGGACUUGGGUGCUUCUGCUUAACUGUGGCUCGCCUUAAAUGAAGUAGUGCAACUCUCGGUUGGACAUAGUACGGCGGGAUAAGUGUCUUCGCCGGCGCCUCAUUCGAGGGUGGCCGAUCGGGAGCUCUGUGCUUCAAACUGUCUUCGGACAACAUCUGACAACUUGACCUCAAAUCGAGUAGGACUACCCGCUGAACUUAAGCAUAUCAAUAAGCGGAGGA